AGGGCCCCCCCAGGAGGGGAGCCGGCGGCUUAUUUUGACUCACCACGGGAAAACUCCCCCGGCCCGGACACGGGAAGGAUUGACAAAUGGAGAGCUUUUUCUUGAUUCAGGGGGGGGGGGUGCAGGGCCGUUCUUAGUUGGGGGAGCGAUUUGUCGGGUUAUUUCCGAUAACAAACAAAACUCCUCCCUCCAAAAAAAAUCGUGGGUUUAAAAACCCCAAUGAAACUUUUUAGGGGGACAGGGGGCGUUUCACCCGCACAAAACACAGAAAAAACAGGUCUGUGAUGCCCUUAAAUGUCCGGGGCCGCACGCGCGCUACAUUGAAGGGAUCAGCGUGCAUUCUCACCCAACUCUGCCAAGAGUGGAAAACCCAAGAACCCUUCUUCGGGAUUGGGAAAGGAAAUGGUAAUAAUCUUCUUUGAACAAGAAAUUCCCAGUAAGCGCAAGUCUUAGCUUCCCGUUAAUUACUUCCCGGCCCUUGGUACACCCCCCCGUGCUAACAACUAAUUCAAGGUUUAG
RNAcentral lists this ribosomal RNA (519 nucleotides) under uncultured eukaryote. RNAcentral describes it as "partial 18S ribosomal RNA". It matches the Rfam family "Eukaryotic small subunit ribosomal RNA", at positions 1161 to 1700 of the family's 1831-position model. The record is from RNAcentral.